Long non-coding RNA from Halichondria panicea, 1948 nucleotides. RefSeq lists it as uncharacterized. The record is from RefSeq and is a predicted model, not a curated record. The transcript is spliced from 3 exons. Lineage: Eukaryota; Metazoa; Porifera; Demospongiae; Suberitida; Halichondriidae.
UUAGUACAACCAGUAGGUUGUACAUAGGAUUGACAGUACAGUUGUGUGUGUUUUCAAUUAUUGCAUAAAUUUUGACUCGUGUUUAGACUGCUCUAUUUCUGCAGGGAAAGGCCACAUCAAGAAAUGGACUGGAUAGAUAGCUUAGUUAGCCUUUUAUCUGUAUAAAUGUGUGAAAUUAUAGUCAAUGAAUAUUCUCAUGCAUUACUAUUGAUAUUUGAAAAAUUGCACUAUUUUCAUAUUUCACCGCGUUUCGUCUGACUGACUAAGUAAGUAAGUUAGUAAGUAAGUAACAUUCUUGAAAAGCAUUUCCUCCUUGUACAGACAUAUUCAGAAGAUUCUAGAUACAGCCUCUAGUCGACUACAAACCGGAGCAUGGGCGUUUUUCUCAGAAUUGCGUCCGCUUCCAAGACGCAGGUGACCUCUCAGGCUCCACUUUUCUUACCUACGCAAUUCCGCCAUCUUUAAAUGACUGCCACAGCAACACAUGGCAACUUAUGAGGUGGGCGUGGCUGUGACAUCGAUAAACACAAAACCUCCUUUCUUCAGCUCAGCUCUCCAUUCUCUCACUUCAGGUAUUUCACUUUCAUUAUUGAGAAAAGAAGGCCGGUGAAGGAGGCUAACUCCUCAAUUCCCUGAGUGAAGUGCGGCCUGGGAUCGAGACUAUUGAGGAGUAUAAUAUAAUUCUGUCCAACGACCACUUAUAUAUUAUCUUCAACAAGAUUACAGGACGAUGACAAAUUAAUCAACGUCACAUUAAUUUUAUCUUAUCAUUAAUGUACUACUGUAUUGAAAAAGAAAGGGAAUCAAAACUAAAAAACAUUUGCAAUGUGAACGUUGCUAGGAUUGCCAGGAAAAGAAAAGCGCGAAAAAGCGAAGAAACAAGAAAUUCGGCGAGUGCAUAACUCCAAUCCGUUACAACGUCAUGAACAUGUACAGUCAAGUGGCCUACUGUUGAUAAGGAAUUUAGAAUCAAAAUACAGGUUGGGCACAGUCAUUGCACUAAAUAAGAAUUCACCUUUGGACAGUGAAACUAAAUAAUAAUUAUUAUUACUUGCAACUGAUGUGAAAGGAUUGGCCAGGAAAAGUACCAAAACAAGUAUAUAUAUAGCUUAAAUUUCUUGAAAUAGUACAUGUGAAUGACGUUGUAACGGAUUGGAGUUAUGCACUCGCCGAAUUUCUUGUUUCUUCGCUUUUUCGCGCUUUUCUUUUCCUGGCAAUCCUAGCAACGUUCACAUUGCAAAUGUUUUUUAGUUUUGAUUGUACAUAGGAUUGACAGUGCAGUUGUGUGUGUUUUCAAUUAUUGCACAAAUUUUGACUCGUGUUUAGACUGCUCUAUUUCUGCAGGGAAAGGCCACAGCAAGAAACUGAGUUGACAGAUAGCUUAGUUAGCCUUUUAUCUGUAUAAAUGUGUGAAAUUAUAGUCAAUGAAUAUUCUCAUGCAUUACUAUUGAUAUUUGAAAAAUUGCACUAUUUUCAUAUUUCACCGUGUUUUGUCUGACUGACUAAGUAAGUAAGUAACUUUCUUGAAAAGCAUUUCCUCCUUGUACAGACAUCUUCAGAAGAUUCUAGAUACAGCCUCUAGUGGACUAGAACCCGGACCAUGGGCGUUUUUCUCAGAAUUGCGUUCGCUUCCAAGAGGCAAAUGACCUCUCAGGCUCUACUUUUCUUACCUACGCAAUUCCGCCAUCUUUAAAUGACUGCCACAGCAACGCAUAUGGCAACUUAUGAGGUGGGCGUGGCUUUGACAUCGAUAACACAAGGCUCCUUUCUUCAGCUCAGCUCUCCAUUCUCUCUCACUUCAGAUUCUGAAUAAAAUAAUAAUGUUUAUUCCAGUCCUGUCUUCUCUUCUUGAACUUCUCUUGCUUCUUGAUGUUCCUCUUCAGGUAUUUCACUUUCAUUAUUGAAGAGUAUAAUAUACUUCUGUCCAACGACCACUUAUAUACUAUUA